Molecule: ribosomal RNA, 433 nt
Filed under: uncultured bacterium
Lineage: Bacteria
Description: partial 16S ribosomal RNA
Rfam family: Bacterial small subunit ribosomal RNA
Source: RNAcentral
GACGAACGCUGGCGGCGUGCCUAACACAUGCAAGUCGAACGAAACCUUCGGGUUUAGUUGCGCAGGGGUGCGUAAGGCGUGGGAAGCUGCCCGUAGGUUCGGAAUACCUGCCUGAAAGGUGUCCUAAUAACGGAUAAUGUCUUCGGACCAAAGAUCUAUUGCCGUAGGAUGGGCCCGCGUCGGAUUAGCCAGUUGGUAGGGUAAAAGCCUACCAAGGCGACGAUCCUUAGCUGGUCUGAGAGGAUGACUUGCCACACUGGGACUGAGACACGGCCCAGACUCCUACGGGAGGCAGCAGUGGGGAAUAUUGGACAAUGGGGGAAAGCCUGAUCCAGCAACGCCGCGUGAGUGAUGAAGGCGUUAGGGAUGUAAAGCUCUUUUAGCCGGGAUGAUAGUGACGGUACCGGGAGAAGAAGCCCCGGCUAACUACGUG